CCCACAGCCACAGGUACAGUGCAGAAUGGGAAUCAAAGCUUUGCCUGGUGCUUCGGGUGAACCUGUAAUCUUUUUCUUCAUAAAAAUAGCUCUGGUGAAAACCCUGAUGGGAAAAUACAGCUGGGGUCAGCACAAAAGGCUCUUGCAUUGAUCCCUGGCAUUAAACAGAGGAGGGGAAGAGGAGGUUUGUAGACUGGCAUUUAGGUAGUGGUUCAUGCUGUGGUCACAAGGAGAGCUCUGAGCCCCUGCAAACAUCACCUCCAGCCGGGUAAACGGGAGGAAGCUGCGGCAGCCUCUGCCUUGAGCACCUCGGUUCAGCUCCUGCUGCCUGGAGCCCUUUUCCCAGCCGAGCUGUGAGGAGGGAUGGAGGGAUGGGCAGUGCGUGCAAAGCGUGUCGACAAGAGCAUUUGUGUGUGGCUGAGGAGGCAAAGAGGAGAAAAAGGAUGAUGAAUCCACUCUGACCUCCUGAAUGGCAAUAUAAAUACUUUAUUGAAAAUUCUAAAUAAAUGUGUUUGUAACCAGUAA
Long non-coding RNA from Poecile atricapillus (Black-capped chickadee), 525 nucleotides. RefSeq lists it as uncharacterized. Lineage: Eukaryota; Metazoa; Chordata; Aves; Passeriformes; Paridae. The transcript is spliced from 2 exons. The record is from RefSeq and is a predicted model, not a curated record.